GCUCCUGCUCGGGGAAGACCGAGAUUGUCGCUUCUCCACCCUGCCCGCAGGAGCUCGGAUCCCCUCCCACACCUCCCUCCCCCUCAUCCCUCCGCCUUAACGCUUUCACGGCCGGGGCGGAGAGACCGGCAUGGGGAAGGGGACCCAGGCGUCCGGGUCAGCUGGGGAAGAGACCGGCAUGGGGAAGGGGACCCAGGCGUCCGGAAGGGAGCCCCCAGAACUCCCUCAGAUGUCAUGGGGGAGAAAGGAAGACCGGGAAGAGGACCCAAGAGUCCGGGUUUUCUGGGGAAGAAACCAAGAGAAGGAAGGGGUCCCAGGAGUCCGGGAGGGGCCCCAUAGCUCUCGGCUCCCAGCAGGAAUUGGACGCAGGUGUCCAGGAGGGAGCCUCCGCAACCCCCUCAGAUCUCAGGAGGAGGGGAAGCGAAGAUGGGGAAUUGGACCCAGGAGUCCGGGGUGGCAAUGCUCACCCCACCUUCGCUUGGGACGGCGAGCUGUGACCCAGGCUCCGUGGGGUUAACUGCUUGGGGGAGGGGCGGAAAUUAUCCGCCCCUCCCCCCAACUGGCUGUUCCCUGCAGGACCAAGAGUCAGGGGAGAUCAUCGGGGGACAGGAAACCCGGCCUCACACCAGAUCCUACAUGGCCAUCGUGAGCAUAGAGGCUCUUUGGAUUCCUGGUCCUACCUGUCGGCCUCAAUGGGGCACCUGACACCUUCCAGCGCCUGGUGGAUCAAUUACUAAGGGGGAUGGAGGACUUUGCCCUAGCGUAUAUUGAUGAUAUCUGUGUCUUCAGUCCGACCUGCAAAGACCAUGUGACCAGGUGAGGAGGGGGCUGGGACACCUCCAGGAUGCAGGACGGAUGAUAGAGGCCGGAAACAGUAAGGUGGUGAUGGCAGAGGUGCCGUACGUGGGCCGCAAGGUGAGAAGUGGCUGUCUAAAGCCAGAGCUGGCCAAGGUGGAGGUGAGCAGAGA
Long non-coding RNA from Caretta caretta (loggerhead turtle), 968 nucleotides. RefSeq lists it as uncharacterized. The record is from RefSeq and is a predicted model, not a curated record. Lineage: Eukaryota; Metazoa; Chordata; Testudines; Cheloniidae.